RNAcentral lists this transfer RNA (64 nucleotides) under Hippopus hippopus. RNAcentral describes it as "tRNA-Phe". Lineage: Eukaryota; Metazoa; Mollusca; Bivalvia; Cardiida; Cardiidae. The record is from RNAcentral.
GCUUAGGUAGCUUAAUAAAAGCAUUGCUUUGAAGCAGCAAGUAUGGACAUAGGGCCCCUAAGCA